Molecule: long non-coding RNA, 1941 nt
Organism: Mesocricetus auratus (golden hamster)
Lineage: Eukaryota; Metazoa; Chordata; Mammalia; Rodentia; Cricetidae
Exons: 4
Source: RefSeq, a predicted model, not a curated record
AGGAGCGCUAAAAGGAUGGGAUCUCCUGUUGUCCCCACAGCACAGCAGGGUGGGCCUGGUCAACACCAGUCAGCCCCGCUGCGGGAGGGAACUGGAACGUGUAAAUGGACAACGUGACUGCUCCACGGCGUGGGACUGGGGUGAGCGGUUAGUAUCCUGGAACAGUACCACGGCCCCUAGAGGCGCUUCCCAGACACACAGUGGAUCCCCCUCUUUGGUGUUGAGAGGAGAGACCGUGAUCAUCUGCUCUGCUCCUUUGGCCCAGCGGUCACCUCCCUUCAGCCUCUGCCUCUGGCCUUCUUACCCCAUUUGCCACUAUCUCGAACAAGUGCACGGAAUCCUGGUCCAAAUCCUUCUCAGAGACGGUCUCCUGGGGGAAAGAAGCCAGGAGGGAGGGAGCCAGUCUUAAAAACAUCCAUCAUGCCCCAAGAACCUCCAAGUUUUCUAUUACCUCUUCUAGAUGCUCAGCCCAGUUGACUUCAUCCAGCAACCUGGGCAUAAGAGAGUGAAGGUUUAGGGAUAACUAGGGGCCAGAGAGAUGAGGUUCUCCAUGGGGUGAUCUUGGAAAGGUCCUGUCAUUGUAUAUGGGACAGUAUAGAACAAUCCAUCGAAUCUCAGCUCUAGUUUUACUGUUUCUAUUACCAGCUUAGACCUCAUGCCUCAGUUUCCAUGAGCAUAAAUUAGGACUGACGUGGGGGAGGGCCAGAGUCCGACCUCCUGUAGCUCUUGGGCAGGGAACCUUGCUGCGGUGAGGUUGGCCCCUCACCAGGUCUCACUGUGUUUCUCCGUGAAGAUCCGAAGCAAGAAGUCAGCAUCUUUAUGGGGUUCAAAGGUGGAGGGGAUAAUGAUGUAUUCCCCUGGAGGCAGCCGAAGAUGGCUGUUCACUUCCCGUGAGUUGGUGAAGAUCUCUGAAAAGCCAUGGUCCCGAUAUUUCGUAAAGAACUCUUUCUUCAGAUGGAUGUCCUGGAGGUUCUGAAACUGUAUGUACCCUGGAGGUGGGUACAGGACUAGCCCAGGAGAGCCAGGAGAGUGGAUCUCCUAGGGGACCUGAAAAGAAAAGAGAGAAGAGAUUCAGAUCUUCAGGGCAGUGAAGGGGCUCUGACCUUCAACUGGGUGAGUGUGUACCGUGCGUGUGAGCACAAGGGUGAGCCUGGGUCGGGGCAUUGGUACAACGGGGUGGGUAGGGUGUAGGCUGUUGGCAUUAAGAAUUUGUUUUCAAUAUCAAAGUCCAGUUUGCACAAAGUUUGCAAAGGCCGCUUUUUGUCGCUCGGGGUUAAGGACAGGAGACUGAGUUCUGGAGAGACAGGGAUGAUUUGCUGGAAGGGAAAGAGAACUGGAUGCCACCCAAGAGUGUGCUCCUAGCGUGCUCCCCUGCAAGGUAACCUGCAGCACUAGACAGGUGGCCAUGGAAACGGGGGAUGGACAGCAAAUGCGUUUCACGUUCGCCUUUCCCCCUCCCUGGCAGCCCAGGCUUUGAUUUUGCCAUGUAGUUGAGGAUGGUCUUGAACUUUUCAUCCUCCGGCAUCCACCUCCCAAAUGCUGGGAUAACGGACACGUGCCACUGUGCCCAGUUUUAUGCGUUUCUGGGCAUAGAGCCCAGGGCUUCUUGUUUUGUUUUGAUCUCUGGAGACAGGGUAUCGUGUAGGCCAGGCUGGCCUCUAACUAUGUAGCUGAAGCUGGCUUUGAACUCCUGAUCCUCCUGGCUUCUGCAGGCACCUUCAUUUGUGUGCACAUUGCCACACAGAGACACACACAUAAUUAAAAGUUAAAAACCUUGCAUGUGUGGUGGAGCAUACCUUUGAUCCCUUCAUAUGAGAGGUCCAGGCAGGAGGAUCUCUGUGAGUUUGAGGCCAUCUAGGUCUACAUAGACAGUUCCAGGCCAUCUAGGGCUACAUAAAGAGACUGUCUCAAAAAAAAUUUUUUAAAUAAAAAAAAUAGUAU